RNAcentral lists this unclassified non-coding RNA (747 nucleotides) under soil metagenome. RNAcentral's name for it is "partial contains internal transcribed spacer 1, 5.8S ribosomal RNA, and internal transcribed spacer 2". The stretch from base 139 to 292 matches the Rfam family "5.8S ribosomal RNA". The record is from RNAcentral.
CCUAGAGUUGUAGGCUUUGCCUGCUAUCUCUUACCCAUGUCUUUUGAGUACCUUCGUUCCUCGGCGGGUCCGCCCGCCGAUUGGACAAUUUAAACCAUUUGCAGUUGCAAUCAGCGUCUGAAAAAACUUAAUAGUUACAACUUUCAACAACGGAUCUCUUGGUUCUGGCAUCGAUGAAGAACGCAGCGAAAUGCGAUAAGUAGUGUGAAUUGCAGAAUUCAGUGAAUCAUCGAAUCUUUGAACGCACAUUGCGCCCCUUGGUAUUCCAUGGGGCAUGCCUGUUCGAGCGUCAUUUGUACCUUCAAGCUCUGCUUGGUGUUGGGUGUUUGUCUCGCCUCUGCGCGUAGGCUCGCCUCAAAACAAUUGGCAGCCGGCGUAUUGAUUUCGGAGCGCAGUACAUCUCGCGCUUUGCACUCAUAACGACGACGUCCAAAAGUACAUUUUUACACUCUUGACCUCGGAUCAGGUAGGGAUACCCGCUGAACUUAAGCAUAUCAAUAAGCGGAGGAAUCGUACGCUUGGUCAUUUAGAGGAAGUAAAAGUCGUAACAAGGUCUCCGUUGGUGAACCAGCGGAGGGAUCAUUACUGAGUUGCAAAACUCCCAACCAUUGUGAACGUACCUAUCGUUGCUUCGGCGGGGGAGGCCCUCAGCGGCCUCGCGCCCACCCCCUCGGGGGAGGCAGCCCGCCGGAGGCGUCCAAACUAUAGCAUACAUUGGCCUCUCUGAGUAGCUUAUAAAAUAAGUCA